CAAUUGUCGCGUGGGUCUGAUGUCUUCCGAUGGAACCUCCAUGGGAAUGGACAAUUCUCAGUGGAGUUAAUGUAUAGAGAGUUAAUCCAGUCUGAUGUGCCAGUUGAUAACAACAAGAAGAUCUGGAAGAUGAAGAUACCUCUUAAGAAUGAAAUAUUUGCAUGGUAUCUUCCUCGCGGAGUCAUUCUUACUGAAGAUAACCUUAUUAAGAGGAAUUGGAUUUAAAGUGCGCAAUGUGUCUUUUGUCAUCAUGAUGAGACAAUAAAACAUUUAUUCUUUCAAUGCAAAUUGGCUCAUUCUAUAUGGUUAAUCAUCCAAAUAGCUUCUGGCUUGUAUCCUCCACAUUGUGUUGCUAAUGUAUUUUGCAACUAG
This 372-nucleotide ribosomal RNA is filed under the name Triticum aestivum (bread wheat). RNAcentral's name for it is "partial small subunit ribosomal RNA". Lineage: Eukaryota; Viridiplantae; Streptophyta; Magnoliopsida; Poales; Poaceae. The record is from RNAcentral.